AUGGCUCGUCGAGCCGGGCCAGAGGAAACUGUCGCUGGUGGAGUCAGCCGCAACUCAGCCACGGUUCAGGCCGCCCCAUCUUUGUCGGAUGCGCUGAAUCACCGAGGAAGCCGCAUCGAGUUAGCACAGGCGCCUGGCGGAGGCGGCUCUGCUGUGCCGGGACGCUGCAGUCCCUUCAAUGUCGUGUGUCCGUGUCCGUCGCAGACGGCGUCCUCACUCCCGACUUCUCCCUCGACCUUGCGGCAACGACUAUACCAUGUUGUUCUCGUCGCUGGAGAUCGACUACUCAGGAGCAUGGGUAGAGGCGAUAUGGUGGUGUACUCGCAGAAAAAGAGGUAA
Molecule: ribosomal RNA, 339 nt
Filed under: Triticum aestivum (bread wheat)
Lineage: Eukaryota; Viridiplantae; Streptophyta; Magnoliopsida; Poales; Poaceae
Description: partial small subunit ribosomal RNA
Source: RNAcentral